RNAcentral lists this ribosomal RNA (497 nucleotides) under uncultured bacterium. Its description in RNAcentral is "partial 16S ribosomal RNA". It matches the Rfam family "Bacterial small subunit ribosomal RNA", at positions 28 to 507 of the family's 1533-position model. The record is from RNAcentral.
GAUGAACGCUGGCGGCAUGCCUAAUACAUGCCAGUCGAGCGAACAGACGAGGAGCUUGCUCCUCUGACGUUAGCGGCGGACGGGUGAGUAACACGUGGAUAACCUACCUAUAAGACUGGGAUAACUUCGGGAAACCGGAGCUAAUACCGGAUAACAUGUUGAACCGCAUGGUUCAACAGUGAAAGACGGUCUUGCUGUCACUUAUAGAUGGAUCCGCGCCGCAUUAGCUAGUUGGUAAGGUAACGGCUUACCAAGGCAACGAUGCGUAGCCGACCUGAGAGGGUGAUCGGCCACACUGGAACUGAGACACGGUCCAGACUCCUACGGGAGGCAGCAGUAGGGAAUCUUCCGCAAUGGGCGAAAGCCUGACGGAGCAACGCCGCGUGAGUGAAGAAGGUCUUCGGAUCGUAAAACUCUGUUAUUAGGGAAGAACAAAUGUGUAAGUAACUAUGCACGUCUUGACGGUACCUAAUCAGAAAGCCACGGCUAACUACGUG